GAUGAACGCUGGCGGCGUGCCUAAUACAUGCAAGUCGAGCGAACGGACGAGAAGCUUGCUUCUCUGAUGUUAGCGGCGGACGGGUGAGUAACACGUGGAUAACCUACCUAUAAGACUGGGAUAACUUCGGGAAACCGUAGCUAAUACCGGAUAAUAUUAUGAACCGCAUGGUUCAAAAGUGAAAGACGGUCUUGCUGUCACUUAUAGAUGGAUCCGCGCUGCAUUAGCUAGUUGGUAAGGUAACGGCUUACCAAGGCAACGAUGCAUAGCCGACCUGAGAGGGUGAUCGGCCACACUGGAACUGAGACACGGUCCAGACUCCUACGGGAGGCAGCAGUAGGGAAUCUUCCGCAAUGGGCGAAAGCCUGACGGAGCAACGCCGCGUGAGUGAUGAAGGUCUUCGGAUCGUAAAACUCUGUUAUUAGGGAAGAACAUAUGUGUAAGUAACUGUGCACAUCUUGACGGUACCUAAUCAGAAAGCCACGGCUAACUACGUG
Molecule: ribosomal RNA, 497 nt
Filed under: uncultured bacterium
Lineage: Bacteria
Description: partial 16S ribosomal RNA
Rfam family: Bacterial small subunit ribosomal RNA
Source: RNAcentral